Molecule: unclassified non-coding RNA, 205 nt
Filed under: plant metagenome
Description: partial contains small subunit ribosomal RNA, internal transcribed spacer 1, and 5.8S ribosomal RNA
Source: RNAcentral
GUUGGUGAACCAGCGGAAGGAUCAUUAAAGAGAUCAUGCCCUCCGGGGUAGACCUCCCACCCUGUGUUAUUUAUCCGCGUUGCUUCGGCGGGCCGCGCCCGUCAGAGGACCCCAACCCCAACUCCGCGUUAAAUGUCGUCUGAGCAAAACAAAAUAAGUUAAAACUUUCAACAACGGAUCUCUUGGUUCUGGCAUCGAUGAAGAA